AACGAACGCUGGCGGCAUGCCUAACACAUGCAAGUCGAACGAGACCUUCGGGUCUAGUGGCGAACGGGUGCGUAACGCGUGGGAACCUGCCUUUAGGUUCGGAAUAACUCAGAGAAAUUUGAGCUAAUACCGGAUGAUGUCUUCGGACCAAAGAUUUAUCGCCUUUAGAUGGGCCCGCGUUGGAUUAGCUAGUUGGUGGGGUAAAGGCCUACCAAGGCGACGAUCCAUAGCUGGUCUGAGAGGAUGAUCAGCCACACUGGGACUGAGACACGGCCCAGACUCCUACGGGAGGCAGCAGUGGGGAAUAUUGGACAAUGGGCGAAAGCCUGAUCCAGCAAUGCCGCGUGAGUGAUGAAGGCCUUAGGGUUGUAAAGCUCUUUUAACCGAGAUGAUAAUGACAGUAUCGGGAGAAUAAGCGCCGGCUAACUCCGUG
RNAcentral lists this ribosomal RNA (433 nucleotides) under uncultured bacterium. Its description in RNAcentral is "partial 16S ribosomal RNA". It matches the Rfam family "Bacterial small subunit ribosomal RNA", at positions 29 to 507 of the family's 1533-position model. The record is from RNAcentral.